GUUGGCCAGGCUGGUCUUGAACUCCUGACCUCAAGUGAUCCACACCCUUUAGCCUCCCAAAGUGUUGGGAUUACAGGCGUGAGCCACUGUACCAGCCAUUGAGUUCUUUUAACAUUACUCUGAUAAUUUUUUUCGUUAUUUGCCAUGACAGGGUUUUCCAGGUGCAUCUCGUACAUUUCUUACCCUAGACAUGGAAAUAGCCACUUCUUCAAGAAGACUUGGGUGUUGUUUUGAGGGGGAAUGAUAUUUUUAAGGUCACAACCUGUUUGUUAGAGAUGGUGAUUGUUUCUGAGCAUCUUCAGUGGACAAAGUUAUUUCAUGAGUUCAUACUGAUAGUUCUAACUUAAAUUCUGGAACACAAGUUUUGUUGUAUUUUUUUACUUAACCCCUGUAUUACACCUGUAUUUCCUUUCUUGCAUCCCAAAAUCUUAGUUCCCAAGGACAAAGGAGAUCAUAGAAUCAGAACAGUGCAUAAUUAAUCAUUUACUCAAUUCUAAUAUUACACACCCAAACAAUAUUAGUAGACCACUGGCAAUAUAGUUACUGAAAAUAACUAAAUUGUUUUUGCAAAUACUUUCUUCAUUCUCCCCAUUAAGAGUUUUGGCUGUGCUACAUCUAUAUUAUCUAAACAUGUAGCCUUAAAACUAUACUUUCCCCUUUUAUGAAUGCUUAUUUGAUCUUAGUUGUAUAGUAACUGUAUGUUUUACGUAUCGUAUUUAGUCCUACUCAUCAGUCCUUAUACAUAUGUCUCUCUAGUGAUUUCGAUGAUCUGAAGCUCAUUUCUAGUAUAUUCCUCAGUUAGGGCUCAUGGGAAUAAUAUUCCUUGAGUUCCUGCAUAUUGAUGACAGUCUGUUUAUGUUUUUUCUACCUGAAAGUCACUUUUACUGGGAAAAACGUCCUUUAAAGAUAUUUUCUUUAGACAUUUCUUUUCUUGAGUAUAUUAAUUAGGCUACUCUAUUUUCUUGUGUCAUAACAUAUUGCUAUUGUAACGUCUGAUGGUAACCUAAUUUUUUCUUUAUAAGCCACUUGCCUUUUUUUCUUGAAUCCUCAAUAAACUUUUUUUUUCUUUAAAAUCCAAUUAUUUUUAUUAGAAUACACCUUGUUGUUGGUGAUUUUGAGAUUAUAUUCUUAGAUGUGUGGUGUGCUCUUGUACUGUGUACUUUCAAUUAUCUUUUUUAAUUUCAGGAAAGUAUUUUUGAUUCAUUGUUUUUACUACUAUUUCUUAUCCUUAUUCUGAUUUUCUUCCUCAGGGAUUCCUAUAUUAUAUAAUUUAAAUCUUCUUUUCCUAUCUUCUCUUUGUCGAUUUCUCUUUAAUCCAUUUUAGCUCUUUAUUUCUUUUUGAUUUUUAAUUUUUUUUUCCUUUUCACCAAAUAUUCUCUUCAGGCAUAUUUAGUGCUUAUUUGCUUUUGUGUUCCUUCUAGUUUAGUCUUCACUUCUGAAACGACUUUUUCAUUUAUUUAUAAUUCUUUCCUAUCUUCUGUCACCUGAUUUCUGAGUUUUUCUAAUUCUGAUUUAUGCUGUUCUUUUACAUCUUGUAUCAUAUUCUUAAUGUCUUUUAGCUCAUUUUGAAAUAGGUUACAGUUUUGAUCUGUCCCUGUCUUUCUGAUAUGCUUUUAUUAUCUAUAGUGAUGUUAUUCUGCUCCUUAUUCUCUUUUAUCUUAUAAUAAAUUUGCAUGGGACUUGACUUCAAUACUUUUCUGCUGCUCAUUUUUAUGUGAGAUCAGUUUUCUUAAAUUUUAGAGGCCUGGCUCAGGUGGCUUUUGUAACUUUGGAGAGUUCCCUCUUCUGCCGUUUUCCAAGACUUCCUGGUUCUGUUUUCCUCCUCCACUACAAUCUGGAUCAUUUCUUUCCUUUGUCCCUAUUGGGCCUGAUUUGCUCAGAUUUAAUUCCAUUCCAGCAGUUUCACCUCAGUGCAAGAGCCUUUCCUGGAAAAGAGCUCCAUCCUGGAAGAAGGGUCAUAAGUGUUAGAUUCCUAAGGUUCCUCCAGUUCCUACCACAGGCCCCCUUGUACUGCCCAUUGUUGGACUGGAAACCUCCCAGUUUCAGUGGCUGUUUUUAAAUGGGCACACAGUGCUUUGUCUUUGAUUCUCUCUGCUUUCUGCGGCACAGACACUGAUACCACUCUGGUCUUGCAGCUGUUGGUGGUUUGUCCUCACUGGCUGAUAUUUAAGAUUUGUAAAGAAAUGUAAUCAUCUAAUUUCAUUGCAAAUGUUAGCCAUGGAUUUUUGUUUUGGUAUCUGAUUACUUUGUCUGUUUUAAUGCAGAAAUUCAGAGAGAUAAAAUAUGUAUGUUUAUCACAUCCACUGCCACCGUCUUCUUCUGAACACUAAGUAUUUGCCAAGCACUCUCUUACAUAUUGUCUCAUUCAAUUUUUACAACAUCCGGGUGGAGUAGGAAUAAUUAUCAUUCUUAUUUCAUAUAGAGGGAAACUCAGGCUUAGGAGGUCAAAUAGCUUUUGAAGUGGUAGAGCGGGGAUUUGAACCAAUGUCUGGGUGAUUACUAAGUCUGCUAAUCUUUAUGUCAAAAAUAUUUUAAAAUCAGUUCUUUAAAAUUUAAAAUAUAGAUUCCCAUAGAAUGUUUUCUAACCAAAAUAUUAUAAUUUAUGGUUAAUAAAAUAUUAGAAAAUAUUAGUUUUUGAGCAGAAGAAUUUGGAUGAUUUUUUUCUUUUGUGGACAUCCUCAAAUUUCUCUAAUGAGUCUACAUUAAGUAAAAAUGAAACAUCCAAUACAUCUUAUUUUAAAAAUUAAAACAAGCGUGGCUGCAUAGUUCUUUCGUGAGUCUUCAAAAGUUUAUUUAAUUCGUGAUGUACCUGGAAUAUAGUAUGUAUGUGUGUGUGGAUACUUAUGCAUACACAUACAUUUGAUUAAAGCGGCAAAUCAUGCGUCUGCAAAAGUAAUAGUAAUAGCAUAAUUGUUAAGAUGCUUAAUGGUUAAGGAUGUCAGAUUUACGUUUAGACAGACUUGAGUUUGAACACUGGGUCUUUGUCUUAUCUGGUUACCUUGGAUGACUUAUUCAGCUCAUUCAAGCUUCAGUAAAGUGGAAUAACUUCAAAGGAUUGUCCUGGUCAUAAAACGACGUAAUACAUGUGAUGCAAAGUACUUAAGGCGGUACUAAGCAAUAAUAAGCAGUCACCAAAUAUGAAUAGUUGUGAAACACAACAAUAACAAAAAAUCAGGCAUAGUAAAAAUAAAAGGAGGAUUGUAGCUAUUCUGAAAAAAAUUCUGUGUAAUGUCAAGCCUGCAGAAAUAGAUGGCUUUUUUGUUUGUUUGCUUUGCAGAGGGGAGGGGAUUUUUUUUUUAAACCAAUUUAUCAGAGAUCAAUGAGUGCCUUAAAAAUAUUUUCACAGCUGGAAGAAAUGAGAGUUAAAGUAAGUAAUCUUAGAAUAGGUGGUCCAGUGUGGAACUGACAGCUUACACAUCACAUAAAAGGCAUGUAUAGGUCAGAUACCUGUUGCAACUUGGAAAUUGACUUCCUGUAGUGUUCUGGGGACAGAUUGGAAAUUGCCCUGCUGAGCCAGUAUAUACUUGACAGAAAACUUAGGUCUCCCAAGGAACUGAUUUGGAAGGCCAUUUGUAACCCUGAUAACUGUAAACAAAUUGUACUGAAGUGGUAACUUCAAAUGUGUGUUGGUGCAAACUCUUAGGCUAUUCAACUGCAAUGAGUUUAAUUGGUUAUAAGAGUGUUGUUCUCCUUGGACAGCGUAAUACCCACCUCUCCUUCCCCACUGAAUUUGCUAUUUUGUGAUGGCUGCUGUUGAGAUAAUAGAAGCAUUUCAUUUUAUUGAGCGCAAAUACACGAUUAAAAUGUAUAAACAAGAUUUCUCCCUUUCAAAUUUUGGGCUGUAACAUCAUUUGUUCAGUGAUAAGCUGCCUGUUAGCAUCAUCCAUAAGAGAUAUGGAGGCCAUUUUCCGUAGCCACAAUGUGGGGAAGAUAGAGAAGGUUAGGAAUGGUGCAUUUAUUGUAAGAGGAAUUCCCCAGUGCUGCAGGCAGUGUGGCCAGUUGAGACACAUUUCUGGUAGUUAGUGAUUGGAUUUGUUCACCUGCCUUCCUGGGCCUGGCUCCCCACUGGGGAAGUCCGGUAAGGCUGACAGAUAAUAAGCUUCGGUGACAACAACUGUACCACUGACUCCAGUACACCUAUGAUGGGAAAUCCUAAGGUGAAAAGAAUCUGUGAGCUAACAUGGUGGCUAGAAAACCUCCUGCUACAAAUGUGAGUUGUGGUUGUCACUACACAGAUGAUUUUCAGCUGCAAGAAUCUAGAAUGGAUUCUCCUGAGGUUUCCAGUUUCUGUAGAAGGUAGAUUUUUUUUUUCUCCUGAACAACUAGAUGUGUUUAUUUUCUGAUAAGUAUUUUGUGACUCUUGAAACUAAUAAUGAUUAUCUCUUUGAUUUGAUCACUAGGGAGUCCCAUGUGUGUCUCAUCUCAACAAAUAUUAUAAUAUCCCUAAAGACAGGAGCUUUUAUGAGCAUCUGCUGUGUAUCAAACACUGCAUCAGGCAUUUUACAUUUUAGGAAGUUAAAUCAUACAGUGUGACACAGUCUUUGCCUAUUCCAAUGAUUACUGGACAUUUGAGAUUAAUUGAUUGUUUUCAGGUUAAGUGACAAUAACUAAAUAAUGACUUUCUAUCUCUUUGAGCCAGGUGGCACCUUUGAAUGGG
Molecule: long non-coding RNA, 4657 nt
Organism: Sapajus apella (tufted capuchin)
Lineage: Eukaryota; Metazoa; Chordata; Mammalia; Primates; Cebidae
Exons: 2
Source: RefSeq, a predicted model, not a curated record